Molecule: unclassified non-coding RNA, 251 nt
Filed under: uncultured fungus
Lineage: Eukaryota; Fungi
Description: partial contains 5.8S ribosomal RNA, internal transcribed spacer 2, and large subunit ribosomal RNA
Source: RNAcentral
AACGCACAUUGCGCCCGCCAGCAUUCUGGCGGGCAUGCCUGUCCGAGCGUCAUUUCAACCAUCAAGCCCCGGGCUUGUGUUGGGGAACUGCGGCUGCCCGCAGGCCCCGAAAUGCAGUGGCGGGCUCGCGGACACACCGAGCGUAGUAGCAUCAACCUCGCUCAGGGCGUGCCGCGGGUCCUAGCCGUAAAUCCGCCCUUUCUCAGCACUAGGUUGACCUCGGAUCAGGUAGGAGGACCCGCUGAACUUAA